GCCCGGCUAGCUCAAUUGGUAGAGCAUGAGACUCUUAAUCUCAGAGUCGCGGGUUCAUGCCCCAGGCG
RNAcentral lists this transfer RNA (68 nucleotides) under Cricetulus griseus (Chinese hamster). It matches the Rfam family "tRNA". Rfam says of the family: Transfer RNA (tRNA) molecules are approximately 80 nucleotides in length. The record is from Rfam by way of RNAcentral. Lineage: Eukaryota; Metazoa; Chordata; Mammalia; Rodentia; Cricetidae.